Molecule: non-coding RNA, 72 nt
Organism: Salmo salar (Atlantic salmon)
Lineage: Eukaryota; Metazoa; Chordata; Actinopteri; Salmoniformes; Salmonidae
Source: Rfam
GGUUCUAUGUUGUAAUGCUUAGCACUCUGGACUUUGAAUCCAGUGAUCCGAGUUCAAAUCUCAGUAGAACCU